Molecule: ribosomal RNA, 482 nt
Filed under: Bacillus sp. (in: firmicutes)
Lineage: Bacteria; Bacillati; Bacillota; Bacilli; Caryophanales; Bacillaceae
Description: bacterial SSU rRNA
Rfam family: Bacterial small subunit ribosomal RNA
Source: RNAcentral
ACGCCGCGUGAGUGAUGAAGGCUUUCGGGUCGUAAAACUCUGUUGUUAGGGAAGAACAAGUACAAGAGUAACUGCUUGUACCUUGACGGUACCUAACCAGAAAGCCACGGCUAACUACGUGCCAGCAGCCGCGGUAAUACGUAGGUGGCAAGCGUUAUCCGGAAUUAUUGGGCGUAAAGCGCGCGCAGGCGGUUUCUUAAGUCUGAUGUGAAAGCCCACGGCUCAACCGUGGAGGGUCAUUGGAAACUGGGGAACUUGAGUGCAGAAGAGAAAAGCGGAAUUCCACGUGUAGCGGUGAAAUGCGUAGAGAUGUGGAGGAACACCAGUGGCGAAGGCGGCUUUUUGGUCUGUAACUGACGCUGAGGCGCGAAAGCGUGGGGAGCAAACAGGAUUAGAUACCCUGGUAGUCCACGCCGUAAACGAUGAGUGCUAAGUGUUAGAGGGUUUCCGCCCUUUAGUGCUGCAGCUAACGCAUUAAGCAC